UGGGGAAUUUUGGACAAUGGGCGAAAGCCUGAUCCAGCAAUGCCGCGUGUGUGAAGAAGGCCUUCGGGUUGUAAAGCACUUUUGUCCGGAAAGAAAUCCUUGGCUCUAAUACAGUCGGGGGAGUGACGGUACCGGAAGAAUAAGCACCGGCUAACUACGUGCCAGCAGCCGCGGUAAUACGUAGGGUGCAAGCGUUAAUCGGAAUUACUGGGCGUAAAGCGUGCGCAGGCGGUUUGCUAAGACCGAUGUGAAAUCCCCGGGCGUCAACCUAGGAACUGGCAUUGGUGACUGGGCAGGCUAGAGUAUGGCAGAGGGGGGUGAGAAUUCCACGUGUAGCAGUGAAAUGCGUAGAGAUGUGGAGGAAUACCGAUGGCGAAGGCAGCCCC
Molecule: ribosomal RNA, 386 nt
Filed under: uncultured bacterium
Lineage: Bacteria
Description: partial 16S ribosomal RNA
Rfam family: Bacterial small subunit ribosomal RNA
Source: RNAcentral